Molecule: long non-coding RNA, 3179 nt
Organism: Gorilla gorilla gorilla (western lowland gorilla)
Lineage: Eukaryota; Metazoa; Chordata; Mammalia; Primates; Hominidae
Exons: 4
Source: RefSeq, a predicted model, not a curated record
GAGCCGUCUUUUCUGCACAGAGUGUGCACUAUCAUCGUAACAGCAGAGACGGAGAGCAAGAUGUGAGGAGGUUAAAAGUCACGGUCAGAAGUUCAGGUUGCUCUGACCCUCAAAUCAAUUUCAAGCACUGUUUGUGACAUUUUUCUGUGUUCCCUCGCUUGAUGUUAGUCUUUGCAAUGAACCACCGAAUCAGACUUCAGGUCUCAUGGGACUUUGGGGUUUCAGUAGGGUCAGGUCAAUUUCUACCUACCAGUGUACUGUCACCUAUGAGGCAAACCAUUAUCUAGGCGUUUGAGAACCUCAAAGUUUUGAAGCUCCGAGGGGAAAGAGAGAGGAUGAAGUUGCUGGGGCCCCUGUGUCUUUGGGACCUGACAUAGCUCAACCUGUGGCUUCAGGGGGACCAUGUGCAGCCAGGUCAUAGUGGUACUGGAAAGGGAUCCUGAUCCAGACCCCAAGAGAAGGUUCUUGGAUCUCGUGCAAGAAAAAAUUCAGGCAAGGUCUUUGUGACCUGUAUCUUGUGCCGACCUUCUGUCUCUUCCUGUGACUUAGGAUGCCUAACCUCCUCGGAAUGCACCUCAGUAGGUCUCAGCCUCAUUUUGCCUAGCCCCUGCUCAAGAUAGAGUCACUCUGGUUGGAACGCCUUUGGCAAUAGGAUUGGCAACUCAGAGAAAGCUGGUCCCUGGCAUGGGCAUCUCUCCCAAGGCAUUCUUCCAAAGCUGAUGGCACUAAGGCUGAACCCAGAAGCUGCAGCAGUGGACAGAUGAUGAUCUGAAGAAAUGAGAUCCCUGAUGGGCUUGGAAGUCAUGGUUCCUGUAACCAUGAUGUCACACCCUCGUCCUGACACCGAGAUGGGCUGGACACAUCUGUCACCCAGGGCAAACAAAAUGCUUGGUCUGCAUCUUUCAGAAGAAAACUAAAAAUCAAGUAAUUUCUAAGAAUUUUGCUUGCGUGUGGCUUAAGUCUUCUUCUCCUGUUGAGGAAGGUGUUGAGUUUGACCAUGACAGCCCCACCCAGUCCUUGGCUCAUCUCACCCACCAGAGAGGAUCUGGAGAUUCAGAGCUAUGCCAUGGAAGACCUUGUCAGACCACCAGGCCAUACUGUGCUGCAGGUGGGGUUCAGGUGCCCAGUGACAACCACCGGGGCCGCUUAUCCCUAAACGUCUGUUGAACUUAAAGUUCUACUCAAGACUUUCUACAUUAAAUACCCUUUCAUACAGCAAAAUCAGCCAUGUUCUGAGAUGUGAAACUGCAGCACAAAGUUACUGUGGUCUCCACCUAUAGAAAUGGAAUGUUACUUCAUAAAGCCCCAGGCCAAAAAAGAAACCCCAAAACUCUGAAACGACACCCUUAAAUUUAACCUGAACAUCUGGCCAGCCUCCUCCAUCAUUGAAACUUCUCCUGAGUGUUGGCAUGGAUCCUAUGUUUCUCCAGCCAGGGAGCUUUUCUCCCCAUUCUUGAUGGACCCACUGAGUCCCAAUUUUCUACAUUUCACUUGGGUCAUUCCACCACUUUGGGAUGCUUUUCCUACUCUGUCGUACUUUAAAAAUGUUUCUUCUUUCCUAUGCUCAGCUUCACGCAUUUGUCUUCUUUCUCAAUUCAACUUGCUUAGUUCUCGCUACAUCAAUUCCUAGAGCCAUCCAUCUGCACUUCUGAAUCAUUUAAGUUUUGUUUGGCUACAAGUAAUGGAAACCCACUCUGAGUAACUCAAGCAAGAAUUGGAAUUUAUUGGAAGGACAGUGGGAUAUAUCAUAAGAUCCAAAAAGAAUUGAACAAACAAAAUUUCAGAGGGCAGAAAAAGGGCAGCUCCAGUGACUUCAGCAACAAGACAACAUAAGUCUUUCUAGACCAUAGCUACUAAUAUUAUUCAGCUGCAAGAGCCCCUCCCCGUGAGAAACUUGAUUGAAAAUUCUGAUUUCCCACAGAGAAGAAUCUGAUUGACUCAAUUUAGCUUUGGUUGCCCAACUGCUCAAUCUUGCAUGAAUUAUUUCCAGCCAAGGGGACAAGGUGUAUUAUAGGGACACACCUGCUUUCUCCAAAGAAAAGAUCUGGGCAUUUCCUGAUCAUUUCCCUGAGAAGGAGGAAUCAUUGUGAGCCAAGAAGAUACCUCAAGUAUAAUGAGCUCAGUUACACUUUUUUGAUAUCUGAGUAUUUGGUAUGUAGUGUGCAUUUUAAAAAACAUGUCUCUCUCCAGGACAAUGUUAACCUCUUCCACGGUGGAGUGGGGCUAUGUGAUUUUGUGCUUAAUUUACCUAGCUGGUGGGCCUCCAGUAGAGGCUGAACCAGUCGAGCCAGCUGAUACCACAUCAAUUCUCCAAAGGAACAAAAGCUGCCCUUCCUUCCUUAUUGCAAAGUUUGACAAAAAGCAAAACGUCAAGAAUAAAAGCGCCUUGCAUUGUCUAACAUCUACCGCAGUGUUUGAGCUGCAGCUGCUCCUCCUCCCCUGAUUGUUUUCAAAUAUUUCUUCAAAAAAGGCAUUAAAGAAAAACACAAGAUAUUGCACAGGGAACCAAAACAAAUCACAGUCUUCAAGGACAAAGCAUUGCAAAAUGGCUUACAUCCCCAAAUGGGAACAGAUAUGGUUGGAAAUUAAAACAAUCUUUUUUAUUUUCAGUGGAAAUGCUAGCAGAUGCCACAAGAAACAUAUGGAACUCGCCACAGACAAACAGGGAACGCUUUCUGUGUGUGGAAGUAGAGCAAAGGGAGUGACCACCUCUGACUGUCAGGGGGAACCAUCAGCUCGAACUGUUUGCUAUGGCAGGAGGGAGUUUGCAGAGUCCGGGGUCCUGCCCUCAUGAAAAAGCUUUAACGGUCUUGACUGAGUAAUUUAAGUCAUUCUUGUCAGGGAGUUUCAGAACACUAUGCACAAUUAUAUUUAUUUCACAAUGCAUUGAUUCCAGAUACCUUUUUAAAUGUGCUUACCACUGUGUGCGUUGUUACCUGUUCCCUCUUUGAAUCUCUGAAUGAAACAAAAUAAAUAGGAAAAAAUGGAGACAUAGAAGCAUGGUCCACAAGGCAUCUCCCACUCUAGAGGUCUCCCAGCCCCGUGCUAGCCUGUUAAUUUAUUAUCGCUUGUCUGUCAAACAAGGAAGAUAUAAUUUGCCACACAACAUAUUUUCCUAAAGCAAUGUUUUUGUACAAUUUCCUGAUUUCCAAAAAUAUGACCAAUGAUAUUCUGGUUGA